Molecule: long non-coding RNA, 2741 nt
Filed under: Anolis carolinensis (green anole)
Lineage: Eukaryota; Metazoa; Chordata; Lepidosauria; Squamata; Anolidae
Description: lncRNA (ENSACAG00000038131.1)
Source: RNAcentral
AAACAAUCGAAGCUAACAAAAUUACCAUCUGUCAGCUGCAAAAGGUCACCCUACUUGUAUUUGCAUGUGUUAUUCGCUGAUACAUCACACAGUCCUAGAGACUUUGGAAGUGUCCACAAUGUGAUCCAAUACAACAGCCAGCACAGUUUUCUUGUUUGCUUGUACUAAUCGGGUUGUGUAUCAAACACUAAUAAUCUGAAAUCACAACACAGCCAUAUAUUUUAAUUAUCAGGAUAAUUGCAUUUAUUUAUAUCUCAUUUUCCUCUCUUCAACAAGACUUCAAUAGUGUAUUAUCAGCAUAGGAGUUUUCAAAUAUAAGCAAAACACCUCUCUCACACAAAUACACCAAGGUGCCAGCAUCACAAUAGACUCCUCCUGAGGCCAUAAUAUAGUCAUAUAUGUAUAAAAGUUUGUGUUUAUGGGUUUAUAUUUACUUUCUUGCUGGGAUGUCAGACAGAAAAGACAUAUUUCACUUCAGUCUCACUUGAUUCCUGAGCAUCACAGAGAGAGAUUCACACAAAUAAGAUUUCAGAUUGGGGAGUGGUAUCAUCUUCACUUGGCACAAAUCUCACAUUAAAAAUAAUUAUCAUUAUUUUCUUUCUUACAGGAAGAAAAAGAAAAUCAGAAAUUUGUAUACCAGAAUCUAGAGAUUGAUGAGAAUUUUUCUUCAAUUUUGAGCAAAAUAUGGAAUACAGUAAACAGCAGACUCACUGCCAGGAAUCCAAUUACUCAUUUUUCAAAGGACACGAGGGCAUUCAGAGUCAUCUCUGUAGUGUCCCCCACAUCACUGAAUCAAGAGAUAGUAGAAGUAUUCACCCAGGUCAACCUUCUGUCAUCAGCAAUUUUGAAUAGCACUGCAUAUAUUUGUGUGCUUGGCAAAACCUGGCCCAAGUUCAGAGCCUUAAAAGGUAUGGAAGAAGCCAUCUAAUACAAUAAUUAAGCUUGGACUCCUUCCAUAUGAAGAUAAGAUUCAAAAAUAUUUGGAAUAUUUUUUAGUUUGGGAAAAAAUGAUAUGGAUAAAAUUUAUAAAAAUUACAGAUGAUUGGAUGAAAGCAGAAAAUGAAUAUUCUACUAUUUCUGUUUAACACCCAGAAUAUGGUGGGAUCAUCAAUUAAAUUAAUGGCACAGGACACAAACAGUAGCGGUUGACUCCUUUGGGAAGCAGGAUACUAAGCUCGAUGAAUCACUGGUCUGAUUCAGCAAGAUUCUCUUAAUGUUACUAGUGCAUCACCAUUAAGGGUCUAAGCUAUUAUCUUAAUAAUUAUUAAGAACAUUCUAAUUUUAGAAGAGCAAGCAAGAAAGUGCAGUUCUUUUAGACUACCAUAAUAUGGGGAGGUGCUGAGAUAGAUUUUAUAUUUAAUCCUGCUUUGCUGUGUAUUUAACAGUACUUUGAACAUUUUAAAGUGAAUUUCACUAUGGUUUUCAACAGAAAUAUGCAUAGAUGCCUUUACAAGUAUGUUUUAACAAUAGGAAAUUGAGAAUAUAAUUGCAAUUUCCAACCACAUCAUUUCUUAUAAAAUCAAAUAAGAUUUAUUGCUUGUACCUGUAAACCUUGAAUAUAAAGUGUGGGAAAGCACAUGGUUUUAGCCUACAAUAUAUGGACAAGCCCACAGAGAAUCUGUGAAGUAGCUUUGGAAAACAAGAAAGAGCAGAAAAUAUAUCAUGGAGAAAACACAGUGAAAUGAGCUUUUGUUUUCCAGUUCCACUUAACUGUAUCUUAAAGUAUACUAUAAAAACAAUAGCAUAAGCCAAACCCUUUUAAAUGCAAUUCCUGAUAAUAUAAUAGUACUUGAGAUGAAGAUAGCUGUAGUAAUUAUAACAACAAAUAUAAGGUUUCUCUUCCCAUUCAAUCCCCUUCCUAUUCUUCGGUGACAUAGUAGACAUCUAUAUAGUUCUAAUCUGCUAACCAGAGCUCUACUACCUCCUUUGUUCUCCUUUGUGUGAAUUUGUCUUUAAGAAAAGUUUUAAAAAAACAUAUGGAAAAAAUAAAGUGCGAUUCCUAGAACAAAUUCCUACAACCCCAGGAAAUAUAGAAUUUCACCUCUGGAGGACAAGAGCAAACUUCACGGUGUUCUUAUCUGCCACAUAGAACUCUCCUCAGCUUUCAUGGAUACCAGAAUUCAACUGGUAAUGGAGGAAAGGAAAAAUUUGGUGUGGCUAUUUCCCUUGGAUUCAUAGCUCUUAGUUCCUAAAACAUGAGCAAAACAUGUGGACUUGCCCUGAAAGUCUGAUCUAUCUCCAGUUUUGGUAGAACUUUAUUUUGGUUAAUUCCGCCUUUCUGUUGCUUUAUAAUUUUCACAGCCUUCUUAAACAUGCAAAGCACAAAAGAAACUGUCCAUCACUCUAAGAUAAGCAUCUAGUAGUGGGCAACAAGAAAGUCACCUAUAUAUUACAAAUUGAAUUUCCAUCAUGGAAAGUGCAUUUUAUAAAAUUUCAUUAUCUUGUGAAGGUUAAAACUGACCCCAGUAUAAUAUGUAAUUCAUAAUAGUUAUCUAGCAAUCAAGAAAUGUUCCUCUUUAAUUGACAGUCAACUCAAGGCUAAGAUCAUGACAAAGUGAGAGUGUUAAUAUUUCUUAUUAUUAUUCAAAUAGGAAAUGAUAUCCUCUUUCAAUGAAAAAUCCCUCUGUGCAUUGAACCCCUGGCAGCUGUGGUUAGAAAUAUAGCUGUACUAUCUGGGAUUGUGCAACAUAAAAUAGGAUUAUAGGUCACUGAUUUCGUUAUUUACACGAUUAAUCAUUGUC